Molecule: long non-coding RNA, 4272 nt
Organism: Lolium rigidum
Lineage: Eukaryota; Viridiplantae; Streptophyta; Magnoliopsida; Poales; Poaceae
Exons: 9
Source: RefSeq, a predicted model, not a curated record
AUUCAUUCGUCAAACAAAACCGCCGAUGAAAACCCUAGCCGCUCGCCCGUGCCUCCUCUCUUCCCCUCCCGAACAGAGAGCUCUCGGGUGGAGAGGCUCAACCCGCGUCCAUCACACUCCGGCGGCGCCGCAGCCUUCCCUAACCCUAGAUCGACGGGGCCGCUGCCAUCUCAUCUCCUCUUCCAGAAAGCGGGAGUAAAAGUGAAGACCACGAUGGGAUGCUACUCUGUCGGUGAUCAAGGACGGGAAAAAAAGGCUGUUUGAUGUGUGGAUGGAUUUGAAUGGGACGGACGCAUCACGGCUGAAGGAUGUUCGCCACAACUUAAAAGGAGGUCAAUCAUGUUUAAAUUGCCUUUCUAAAUUGGCUUUCACAUGCAGCAGCACCAUAGGAAUUAGUCCUCAACCAAGACUUGUCUGACCUAUGACGACAACAAUGUGUCAGGACAAAGCAUUUUUUGAUUGGACCAAACGAUGACUUUUUCAAUUUUUCUGUAAGUAUCUUGGACAUGCAGAUCAUCAUCCGUAAAGCUUAGCAUUUGUAAUACUAUGUUUGGAGUGCAUCCUCUCUCACUAAUAAUACCCAAUAAGUGACAGACUUCGAAUAUUUACUCGAGUGAGUACCAAGGAGGCGAGAAGCACAACUCGGGUCAUGCGUGAGAAGUAGGAGGGUAUCGGUCAUCUGAAAUUGAUGUCAAAUGUUGCUAUCAUGAUACAAAUGUAUUACAAAUGUGGUGAUGCUGCUCUCCUCCCGCCGUCACGACAUGGAAGCCGGCCUGCUGAUGCUGCUCUCCUCCCGUGUCGGGGACGACGGGCUGUUGCUGCUGCACGCCGGUGAAUAUCGGCGAUCGAGUACUCACCGGUGAGGGCAAGGAUAGGAGGCAGCGGGUUCAAGAGGGAGCCUAGGGGAUCUCUUGCCACAUGACUGAUAGUCCACAUGGAACAUGUAGCUAUACAUUUGUUCCUUGGAGGUGCAAGGAUCAUCAAAUCUCCUUAUUAAUGUGCUUCCAUACCUGGCAGACAGGGCUAACCAUUUUUAAGUUAGUCGUUGCUUCACUCUGACAUUUUUUGUUUGGUUCCAUUUGUUUGUACAGUAGGUUCUUGUGGAGUUGGCCGAGCUCUAGGACAGGGUCAAGUUGCUCAAGGUAUAAUGGAUGGAGCUUUAAUUCCAGUGCAGAUUGGAGACGACGGCAACCACAACGUUUCAUGCAUGGCUCUUGGCCAGUGAGCAUUGUUCUAUUUUGUGUGUCUUGGGCUCUGAGCAUAAACUUCGCAAAUCACUAUCUGAUUAGAAGCAGCAUGGCAUAGAUGGGUGCUAGGAGAUGAAGGUGAGAGAGAAUUGUAAGCACUUCAAUGAACCUUACUGUAAGCACAGAAGCAAAGCCAGCGCUCAGCCCUCACACGCCAUGUGAGCCUCUCAAGAUUAACCUUUCUAUAAGCACAAUUACGAAAGCACUUCAUCUGAUAUGCCAAAAUAAUGCACACUUAUUGUUAGCCCGAUCUUUAGCUUAUAUAAAUUAAAUUCAUAGUAACUUCCAAAAUUUUAUUGUCGUGAUUGUAUGUUCACAGAGAACCAUCGACAAAAUGGUUUACUGAUGGUGUUAGUAAAGUGUUUUGAUUUCUUCAGAAUAUUGUUGUGCUUUAAAUUCUUUGUUCCUGAAUGAUAUCAUACUGAAGCCAAAAAUUUCUGAACUUUGUGAUCUGGCCUACCAUGAUUUGACAUCCUCCGUGUUUUAGAUGAGCAGUAGCAUUAUACAUUUUAUUUUUCGCGAUAUGGAGUAAGUAGGAAACAAGUUAACAUUACUUUUGCUUAGGAGAUGGCCAACGAAAAUCAUAAGCAAAAAAUCUAAAGUACUGUAGUGAUUGUUUGUACUUCCUUCUGAGCCUUGUAGUUGUGCUGUUCCAUUCCUAAUACAUAAAGAAGGCAAUAUUCAAAUCUAUCAAAAGUUUUACUACAAUUUGAGCUUUUUUUAUAAAGUAUUUAAUGGAACAUACGGGUAGUUCAUUCUUGGUCAAAAGAUCAUUUUCCCCUUACCAAAUUAGCUCUUAGUGCCUUUUGUUUCUAUUGGUAAGUUGCUAGAAAUGUGCAAGAUGAUUUCUGUAAUUUGAUUCUCAGUCCCAUUCUUAUAGAAAUUGUAAGUCGUUUCAACUUCACAUCUUGAUGGUAAUAUUAUCUAGCAUAUUUUUGGCCUGGGUUAACUGUGUUCUUACAUUCAAAUAAGGAACAGUGUUGAGCUGAAACCCGGAGGAAAUAAAGAAUCGCAUUGAACCUCAUUGUCCUAGGUUAGUUGUAUUUGUGGUUGGUGCCAUUAUUCUCCAGUGUAUAUACUUAUUUUCCUGCUAAAAUUUGACAUCAAUUGUGGAUGACCGAUACCCUUAUGAUUUGUAUAAUCUUACCUUCACGCAAAAAUACUUUCAAGACAUAUUGUUAUCUUCCGAUAAACUUAUGCACUAACAUUUAUAAGAUAUGCAUCUACAUUGGCAUUUACAUUUGUAGGAAGUGUUGCUUAAGAGUUUAGUUGUUAUUUAUAGGUGCAAGCAUCCUUAUAUGAUCGUUGCUAGGAAGAUUCUGGUACAAUCUAGGCAUUCUAUAACGCAAUUUUGGGAAUUUCUAAAAAGGAAAAAAACAGAAUUUCAGGUUUUCUUUUGUUUCUGCUUGUUGCGGUAGAAUAUUAUGAAAUUGCAUGCAUUUGAACUGUUCGAAUUGCUCCCUGUUGAUUAAAUGUAUACCUUGAAUAUUAAUAAAUUUCUGAUGGUUUCUUUGGUUCAGUAAGAUGAAUUCGAAACAUCUUAAUAUGAAAGGCCUUGAGUUGUAUGUGCAUCAUGAAAAGGGCUCCACCGCUCCAUUCUGUUUUGUAGUUGUUAGUUUUGAAGUUGUGAUGUAUGGAAUAUUGAGUUCUGUAGGCUAUGGUUGCCAGGGGUAAUUUGGGAGCUGAACUUCUUAUUAAUGUACCACUACUGCAUGUAUGUUGUAAUUGCUCAUGUUGCUCAUUGCAAAUGCUUACUUCUCUGCUUUGCUAUUGUUUAAGCCACAACUUACAAAAUUGAGUGUGAAGUAUAAUAGCCAACACCCAAUGUUAUAUAUGUAGUUUACAAAUUGCUUGGAGAAAAAUAUUUACUAACAGAGUGUCGCUUUGCACUCACUUGUAUAUGCAUGGCAUCUAGGCAGAUUUCCAGUUUGAAAUCUAUAGCUGAAGUUUCUGGGUUUUCAUCCAAUUUAGCUCCUUCAAAUAGUUUUCCGGUCCUCAUGAGUUGCCACAUGAAAUUUUAAAUUUUUCCAUAAGUAAAGCAGACCCCUAAGAUUGAGAUCUAUAGCUGAAGUUUCUGGGUUUUCAUUCAAUUCGCACAUGAUUAGGAAGAAGUAGAGCAAAUUUAGAAGUUGUUGCUUAUACUCAUCUCUAAGUAAAGCAGACUCCUAAGAUUGAGAAAAUAUAUGCAUGCCUGCUGGCACGGUAUGGGGUCAUAGCUGGUGCAGGAUAGGUUUUUUCUGCUUGAAUCACAUUUGCUUGAAUCUAGGAUGGAUACACUAUCAAAUAUAUCUGUGAAACAAGAUAUUUUUUCCGCUUUCUUUAACCAGGCUUGGUUUUCCAGUAAUGAAACCCCUCCGAGUUGAGGCAUUCAAAAAAUGGACAUUGUUGCUAUGUUAUCUGCUGGUUAUCCCUGGUCCUUUUACAACCUUGAGAAAGGCUUGAGAACGAGACAUGAGAAAUUUAGUCUUUUAUGCUUCUGAGGCCAAACUCUUGGGUCACCAGAGGAAACAUUAACAAGAGAGCCUAUGGAUGUUGCUUGAGAAGGUUGUAUUGAGAGCUGUCCGAGAACUUCUAUACUGAUCAUGCUUAAGAGAGUUGGAAGUUUGUGUCAAGGCUUUAAAUUUUCUUUAAUAAGAUGUUCUAUGUAUGGUAAAUCAGAAGUACUGCUAUCCAUGUGAAAGACACUCCCAUUUCGCCUUCCCUGUUGACGUGUGCUUGAUCAAACACUGCUAUGAGGAGCUUAUAAAAGGCCUAUUUUGGAACGGAGAUUGGGAUAACAACAGCAAGAUAUGUAUAUAUGGAAGACAGCAUUAGUUCAAAACUCAAUCCAGUUAUCCUCGCGAAUUUCUUUCAUACUUCAAGUCACCGUGUCCUAGAUUAGUUAAGGGUUCGGUGAAGCAUUCUUUAUGAUUUUAUUUCCAUGUAACUGUUGUCGCCUAUGUAAGUGAACACAAUCUAGAGUGUUUACGGUGCAAAUGGAGGUAAGCAUAUCAAAUAAAGAAAAGUAACCAUGCAGCUGCUUGUA